GAAUAUUCGGUCUAUAUGCGGAACAUGCCGAUACCUCCAAAUCGGAGGAACGACGCGGAACGGCUCAUGCUCACCCCUCGUGUCUCCCUCGGCAGCCCGCUUAUCUCCCUCUCUCGUCUCUCUCUCUCUCUCAUCCGACAGGAACAGGCAGGCGGCGCUGGCAGGAGGUGAGCGGCGGCAGCGGGAACCGGCAGGCGGCGGCGUUGGAAGAAGGCGAGUGGCCGCAGGCGGUGCCUGCUCUGCUUGUACUUGUCCCUGCCUCCGCACCCACCAUCGGCGCACCAGGCAGUCGCCCCCUCCCCCUACGCCUUGAGUUCUUGGCUGCUGGACCACUUCCUCGGCCGCAGAUCAAGCCAUGAGCCGCAAGCUCCGCCCUUCACCGGAAGAUCUGCUCUUCCAUGCCCAGUUCGAGCUUCUCCUUCCUUUUUUUUUCCUCAGAUCGGAAAGAGCGGCGUGAUGCAAGCAUUAGCAAAGGCAAGCAACGUCGUGGCUUUUUGGUUGUGCGCAAUUAGUGGCGACUGGUGAAAAUUGGCUGAUGUUAUAUGUAUGCAUCGUGAUUGUUCGUAAAGAGGAUUUCUUUGUUAAUUUGUUUGUUGCUUAGUAGAGUACUGAUGGUAGUUUAGUUUCCAAAAGAAAAUCAGAGUUUAACUGAUAUGCAAGAGGUGAGCUGUAUCAAAUUAAUCUCAUUUUAUCUCUUCAACCAAACACUGAACUAGAGCCAUUCCAUUCCAUCAAACUGCACUCUACCAAACACAGGGACGGAACCAACCCAUUACAGUGGAAUGGAACCAUGACAUUCCAUUCCACUUCGUUCCUGAACCAAAGACACCCUAUGCGUCUGGAUGUGAAUGGCACUUGCAGUAUAUGGCCGCUCCUUGGUUGUCCAUUUGUAUGCAUCCAUCAGUAUGUAAAUGGCCGCUCCUUGAUUGUUAUUUUGAACAAAACUCCCCCUUAAUUGUUCUACUGAAAUGAAUCCUUGGAAGCUAGCACUACAUGUCUGUUGUUGCUGUCGUCUUGUACUACAUGGCUUUUUCCAAUUUAAUUUCAGUCAAGUUUAUGUGAAUAUAAUCUCCAUUGAUCUGAUGUUUUGGUCUGAAUAUUUACAUUUUAAUUAUCAUGUAUGUACUAAUGCAUUCUCAGAUAUUUGGUCGGUGUUAUCUUCUAAAAUAAUAUUUAAUGCAAUCCUUAAAUAGAAGUAGAAGAAGCAUGUCCGCAAACAGAAUUGUACAUUUUCAUUCCUUUGUAGAAGUGUAAUAGAUUAUUUCUUGAAAACAUAAAGAUUUCAAGUAUAGCGUCAGAACAAAGAUACAAACUGUAAUUUCAACAUCCGGUAAAUGACAUAUACAGCGAGUUGGGCGUGUCAAAUGUUGAUGUACAAACAGAAUACAUUGGAUUAACCAUCUACUUUUUAGAACAGUUCGGAACAUAGCUCAGUUGCUCACAUUAACAAAGAUAAAUAUUAAAACUGGUAAUGUUUGCAGUGCCAAUUGAAGCCGCCAUAGACACGAAUGAACUGGACAAUUGUACUCUUGCAUUAUAUUUAAGGCAUAAUGUUAAAUCCAAAUAAUAGACCUGCGAUGAAACUGAAUAAAUUUUAUGAUUGUUAUUUUUCAUAGUUGGGAGCUAGAAAUUGAUGUUACAUUCAGACCUCUUAACACGGCACAUAUGAUUGUCAGACUAAUUUCUUUGAUCUGGACAUUGUAGUCGGCACAUCUCCUGCCUGAUCGACGUCGAUGCCAUUAUCCUCGAGAAGAACAGGAUGAGAUUGAGACCCUUCCAUUCUUCCGCUUGUUCUAUUCUUGAUGUGAAUUAGCUAGGAUGUAGAGUUUUGUCUAUUAAAGGUCUGGACUAUUGUGUGGUUUCAGUAAAAUUAUAACUGCCUGUAUAUUUGUCUGUGCGUAACAUCUGAACUGGAUCAUGUCCUAUCAUGCAUCGCACUGUUACACAACUAGAGUUGCCAUAUCUUGGUGGACCAUGUCCUGGUAUCAUUUAUCAUUCCCCUGAGUUUAUGGGCCUUAUAAUGAAUGCUAUUUUCUGCUUGCUUGCAUUCAGAAAUGAGAAUAAAUUAUUUACUGUAUUGGAUGCUCCUCUCCUCUCUUUGUUCGGUUCUGUCUUUUUUUCCACUUCCCGGUUUGAACAUAUUGGAAGAGCAAAUUAUGUUAUGUUCCUGGCCCAUCUCUUUCUGCUAUCUUGCGGCUGCAAGACCUGGGAGUUUUAGUGGCUGAUAUAAUUUUGACAAUUUUGCUGCAAUACCUUCAGUUUCUCUAUUGAUUCGGUCAAUUUUGCUGCUGCAAUAGUCUGAAGCAGAACCUCUAUUCUUUUCGUUUGUGCAGGAACUUUGCUCCCAUCUAAUCUGUUUGGGCUGUGUAAAGGGAAGAGAAGGGACGAGAGCAAUGACUGGUUGGGUUGUGUUAAGGGAAGGGAAGAGGGUAAUGACAAGGAGCAGCUGCAAGGGCAUACUGGGAGAGGAGGGUCGACCCCGACGCCAUGGAAGAUUGGAUAGCGUGCUUCUUGGUGUUGCCCAUCACAAUCAGCCACAACAUGAUAGUUGCCAUCAAGAGCGUCAACAGCAAGAGCCUGUAUAACAACACCCUCAAUAGUUUAUCUAUUCUGAUGUAAAAUGGAUUGUACUGGUUCAUAACUCUGCUGUGUGAUAUAUGUUCUCAAUAUAUGUUGUAUGUUAUCAUUUUGUGAGGAUUUUUUAAACUGCUAUGCCGUAGAUACGUAUAGAUGGAUGUGAUAAACUUUGUAAUGUUUCACACCUUGCAAAUAUU
Molecule: ribosomal RNA, 2774 nt
Filed under: Triticum aestivum (bread wheat)
Lineage: Eukaryota; Viridiplantae; Streptophyta; Magnoliopsida; Poales; Poaceae
Description: partial small subunit ribosomal RNA
Source: RNAcentral